CGAACUGCGAUAAGUAAUGUGAAUUGCAGAAUUCAGUGAAUCAUCGAAUCUUCGAACGCACCUUGCGCUCCUUGGUAUUCCUUGGAGCAUGCCUGUUUGAGUAUCAUGAAAUCUUCAAAGUAAAUCUUUUGUUAACUCAAUUGGUUUCUACUUUGGUAUUGGAGGUCUUUGCAGCUUCACACCUGCUCCUCUUUGUUCAUUAGCUGGAUCUCAGUGUUAUGCUUGGUUCCACUCGGCGUGAUAAGUUAUCUAUCGCUGAGGACACUGUAAAAGGUGGCCAAGGUAAAUGCAGAUGAACCGCUUCUAAUAGUCCAUUGACUUGGACAAUACUUUUAUGAUCUGAUCUCAAAUCAGGUAGGACUACCCGCUGAACUUAAGC
RNAcentral lists this unclassified non-coding RNA (379 nucleotides) under plant metagenome. Its description in RNAcentral is "partial contains 5.8S ribosomal RNA, internal transcribed spacer 2, and large subunit ribosomal RNA". The stretch from base 1 to 106 matches the Rfam family "5.8S ribosomal RNA", at positions 49 to 154 of the family's 154-position model. The record is from RNAcentral.